RNAcentral lists this ribosomal RNA (432 nucleotides) under uncultured bacterium. Its description in RNAcentral is "partial 16S ribosomal RNA". It matches the Rfam family "Bacterial small subunit ribosomal RNA", at positions 29 to 506 of the family's 1533-position model. The record is from RNAcentral.
AACGAACGCUGGCGGCAGGCCUAACACAUGCAAGUCGAGCGGACCCUUCGGGGUUAGCGGCGGACGGGUGAGUAACGCGUGGGAAUAUGCCCUUCUCUACGGAAUAGUCCUGGGAAACUGGGGGUAAUACCGUAUACGCCCUUUGGGGGAAAGAUUUAUCGGGGAAGGAUUAGCCCGCGUUGGAUUAGGUAGUUGGUGGGGUAAUGGCCUACCAAGCCGACGAUCCAUAGCUGGUUUGAGAGGAUGAUCAGCCACACGGGGACUGAGACACGGCCCAGACCCCCCCGGGAGGCGGGAGUGGGGAAUUUUAGAAAUGGGGGGCAACCCGGAACUACCCAUGCCGGGUGGGUGAUUAAGGCCUUAGGUUUGAAAAGCCCUUUCAGCGGGGAAGAUAAUGGCGGUCCCAGCAAAAAAAGCCCCGGCUAACUCCGU